UACAGAGGGGGCAAGCGUUGUUCGGAAUUACUGGGCGUAAAGGGCGCGUAGGCGGCCUGCUAAGUCGAACGUGAAAUCCCUGGGCUCAACCCAGGAACUGCGUCCGAUACUGGUUGGCUUGAAUCCGGGAGAGGGAUGCGGAAUUCCAGGUGUAGCGGUGAAAUGCGUAGAUAUCUGGAGGAACACCGGUGGCGAAGGCGGCAUCCUGGACCGACACUGACGCUGAGGCGCGAAAGCUAGGGGAGCAAACGGG
This 253-nucleotide ribosomal RNA is filed under the name uncultured bacterium. Its description in RNAcentral is "partial 16S ribosomal RNA". It matches the Rfam family "Bacterial small subunit ribosomal RNA", at positions 524 to 776 of the family's 1533-position model. The record is from RNAcentral.